Molecule: unclassified non-coding RNA, 250 nt
Filed under: plant metagenome
Description: partial contains small subunit ribosomal RNA, internal transcribed spacer 1, and 5.8S ribosomal RNA
Rfam family: 5.8S ribosomal RNA (bases 199-250)
Source: RNAcentral
GUAGGUGAACCUGCGGAAGGAUCAUUACUGAGACUGGGUGCUUCGGCGCCCGACCUCCAACCCCCUGUCUACCUUACCACUGUUGCCUCGGCGUCUGCUCAACCCCCCUCACCGGGGGGUGGGGGGGUCGCCGGCGGCCAAAAACAAAAAACCCUUUUUCAAACCAAGCAAUCUGAGAAAUUAUUUUAAUAACUUCAAAACUUUCAACAACGGAUCUCUUGGUUCUGGCAUCGAUGAAGAACGCAGCAUC